GUGCCAGCCGCCGCGGUAAUACGGAGGGUGCGAGCGUUAAUCGGAAUUACUGGGCGUAAAGCGCGCGUAGGCGGUUUGUUAAGCCAGAUGUGAAAGCCCUGGGCUCAACCCAGGAACGGCAUCUGGAACUGGCAAGCUAGAGUACAGUAGAGGAAGGUAGAAUUCCACGUGUAGCGGUGAAAUGCGUAGAUAUGUGGAGGAAUACCAGUGGCGAAGGCGGCCUUCUGGACUGAUACUGACGCUGAGGUGCGAAAGCGUGGGGAGCAAACAGGAUUAGAUACCCCUGUAGUCC
This 292-nucleotide ribosomal RNA is filed under the name uncultured bacterium. Its description in RNAcentral is "partial 16S ribosomal RNA". It matches the Rfam family "Bacterial small subunit ribosomal RNA", at positions 505 to 796 of the family's 1533-position model. The record is from RNAcentral.